This 1473-nucleotide long non-coding RNA is filed under the name Numida meleagris (helmeted guineafowl). Its description in RNAcentral is "lncRNA (ENSNMEG00000005175.1)". The record is from RNAcentral. Lineage: Eukaryota; Metazoa; Chordata; Aves; Galliformes; Numididae.
UCUCCAUCAGCUCCGUUCCUCUAAAUUUGUAUCAAAGUGUCUCUGUGUUAACAGUAUCAUUCAAGUUUUCUGCAGGUAUCUGCUGAAGGAAUAUCUCUCACAAUGCUGUUCUGCAUUUCCUCAGAGGAAGGUGAAGCACUUCAGAAACCAGGUGCUGAAUCACCCUCCAGAGGAAGAGUCCUUCUCAUCCGUAGAGAUGUCUAUAGAAUGUCUCUACUAUAUCAUACAUCAUCAAAAAAUAAACUGUCUUGUCAUGGGAGGAAGAGGUCAUUCCUUUCACUGUGUCUUAAAUUUGUGAGGAAUCAGGACCAGAACACCUCUUUGCAAAUGCUCGCAUCAAUCUGAUGGGACUGAGUUUCUUUAUGCUUUGGUUGCAUCCUGCUUGGCAGCUGGCUGAACUGCACAAGAAUAUAAUGUGCUGUUGCAUAUGGUACUUUGGGGAAGAAAAAAAAACACUUGUUAUGAGUUUGAAUGAUAACAGCCUCCAUUAAUGGAAAUUUCCUCAUCUGAAGAUGGUGUCUCAACUGCAUCUGCAGUUAAAUGCUUCAGAUGGCCUCUUUUUCACCAUCACUGAAGGUGAAGAACUCUACCAAGAAGAACAGUCUUGAAUUGUCAGCAGCCUCUCUGAGAGGCACACAAGUCAAAUACCACCUCAGAACUCUUUGUUCCUUACUUGCAGCUGCUAGACAUGUGGACGUUUCAAUGUUAUUUGGUAUUUACUUAAUUAUUAAUCAUUUGUGCUAUAAACCUUGAAAUAAUAUCCUGUAGCAUUUUCAGUGACAAGGCACAGUACAGAAUCAUGACCAAUAGUAACGCAUACUUAAAGAUGCUGGAAAUUCAUGUGGUGGUGAUACCAGUAACCAACUGGGAAGAUGGGAGAACUGCUGCAAAACCAAAAACUGCUGUACCUAAGGCCAGUAGUCUUUGGUUCAUUGAGCAGAGGUUAGGAAAGUGCAUACUCCAGGUCAGCUAACUGAAUAGACUAUUGUCCAGUGUGCAAGGCUCCUAGGAGUAUCUCCCAGUCCCUGAAAACUCCAGAUACAACCAAGAGUAACUGCUUCUCAUCCAAGCAGCAAUAUUUAGCUUUGUGUACUCUCAUUUCUUUUGUUUUCUUCCUUCUGAUGCCCAAAGUUUAUUCCUCAGUGGCUGUAUUCAAGCUUGCGUGAAAGGAACAUGGCUCACAACUCCUGAAUUUCUGGCAUAUGGUUGCAAAUGAUUAAAUAUAUUGUAGAGGAGAUUGUUGGAGCUUAUAAUGAAGAACAGGAAUCUGUAUAAGCAGCUUUCGCAUGGGAAAAGUCAAAAUUCUUUAUGGCAAAACUUGCUGUCACUUGAUAUGUUGCUUGCUCUCUACAAGAGUUGGCUUAUUUAUAUAUAUCAACAUAUAUGUAUUUUAAGGUUAUUUAGAAAAGGCUAGACUUUCAACAAUUUAAAGAUGCUAAUAAAAUCCUCCUACCAUUGUAGGAGAUGGAGUGG